ACAAUCUUCCCUAAAUCUCUCCAC
Molecule: non-coding RNA, 24 nt
Filed under: Arabidopsis thaliana (thale cress)
Lineage: Eukaryota; Viridiplantae; Streptophyta; Magnoliopsida; Brassicales; Brassicaceae
Source: RNAcentral